GUUAGUAAGUUUUCUGUUAUAUUCAACUAAAUUCAUGCUACUAUACCUGUCUUUCCAUCUUUUGUUUUCCUUAUAGCACUUUGCACAGGGCCAGGUUAUUAAUACAUGUUGAGUUGGAAACUCCCUUGCCUUACAAUAUCUCUGCACAAACUCUCACAUGCACAUUCCCAUUUCACUCCACCACACAACCAAUUUUCCUUCCCACUUACUUGAUUCCCAGUAUUAAGACGAUUUGUGUUUUUCCUCCUUCCCCUGCUGAUGUAUUAUUUUUCAACCAUUCAAAUAUGAAAGCAGCUUACUGGGAUAGAAUGCCAACCCCAAUUUAUUCAUGGUGUUCAUUGUAAAAUUAUGACUUCACAGGGACCUAGCCACACCCUUUUUAGGAGCCAAGCUUUCCCUGCUAAUAUGCAGGAAGCCCACCAUGCUUGCUGAGCUGUGAAAAUCCAGAUGGUAGGAAGCAGGUAACAGAAGGAAUCAAACCAUUAAGCACUGAAGAUAUAGACUCAACACUGGCCACAACCUCAAAUAUACCUCCUGCUUCUUCAAUUGAACUUGAAUCAACAGUAAAAUGUACUAGACACCAUUUUGGGGAAGCUUUGGGGUAAUACAACCUUUGAAACUUGCAGUGCUGUAGCAGGAAAAUUUUCAGACAGCAUCUGGCCACCAAAUGGAUUGAUUACCUUGUCUGCAAAAGUCUUUCAAACAUCUGGGGCCUGAUUUUGUGAAACAUCCAGAGGCUUUUCAAAGGUAAGAAAACCCACA
Macaca mulatta (Rhesus monkey) is the source of this 762-nucleotide non-coding RNA. The record is from RefSeq and is a predicted model, not a curated record. NCBI's taxonomy places the organism in Eukaryota, Metazoa, Chordata, Mammalia, Primates, Cercopithecidae.